This is a non-coding RNA of Myodes glareolus (Bank vole), 1486 nucleotides long. Lineage: Eukaryota; Metazoa; Chordata; Mammalia; Rodentia; Cricetidae. The record is from RefSeq and is a predicted model, not a curated record.
ACAACUCUAGCAGUCCUGGAACUCUAGACCAGGCUGGCCUCUGCUGGGAUUAAAGGCAUGCACCACCAAGCCGGGUUCAUUUAGAUCAUUUUUAUAAAAUCUGCUUCUUUCAUCAUUCAACCAUUGGUGCUAAUAUAAACGGUGGCAGGGUUUCUCAAGUAGCUAGGAUACCCAGCAUAUGGAAUCCUGAGACAGGAGUUAUCCUGUGCUACAAGAGACGCUGUCUCAAAAGCAACAGCAGUAAGACUUAGAAAUAAUUUAAGAUUUUGUAAAGUAUUUUUGACCAUAGUGAAUUUGACAAUAUUCCAAUAUUUUAAAAAUGUUCUGGUGAAGCUGGAGGUGACUUUUAAAAAAAAUGUGGUUUGAGCUGUAUUUCUAGUUAUUCUAGGGGUUGAAACAGGAAGAUUAAUUGGUUUAGCUUUAGUUUAUGGCCUUUCUGUGCAUUUAGUGAGACCCAUUCCCCAUUCUUUUCUACUAAGCCCUGAAAUUACAAGUAUGCACCACUACCCCAUCUUUUUUUUUCUUCCUUUUUAAUGAGUAUCUUAUAUCUGUCCUAAGGUGGUCUUUACUUUGCUAUGUAGCUGAGGAUGACCUUCCAAGCACUGGGAUAAAAGGCAUGUGACACUGCCAGUCAGCUCAGCUUCCUAUUUAUUUAGUGUUUUUUUUUUGUUGUUGUUGUUGUUUUGUUUUUGAUAGAGAGGGUUUUCAUGUAACAUAGGUUUGCCUCAGUCUCCCAUUAUUUCCUGUGAUGACAUUGAAUUUAUAAUUCUCUUGCCUCUGUUUUUCAACUCCUGAGACAUAUGCCAUCCUACCUGCUUUAUGCACUGCUUGAGAUCAAACCCAGGGCUUUUUGUGUUUGUUUAUUAGGCAAACAUUAUCAACUGAGGUAUAUCUGUCCUUCAUCUUUUAUUUUUUAAGAUAAGACUCACUAGACUUGGCUAGCCUUGAAUUUUUAGAGAUCUUCCUCCACCAAACUUGGCUUCUACUUUGUGUUUUUUUUUUUAAACAUUAUAUAUGUGUACAUAUGAAUUUGUAAAUGCCACAGCAUGGGUGGUGGAGUGUGGUGGAGGUCCCAUAACAGCUUCUAUGAAUUUCUCAUUUUCUUUGUAUGAAUGCUAGGGAUUGAAUUUAAGUUUCCAGGCAUGGAGGCAAGCACUUUUACCUACUGAGCCACCCUUAAAGUUAAUUUCUGUAUUAAGAUGUGAGAUGAAUUUUGGAUUAUUUAUUUAAGAUUUGGUUUUUAUUUUUUUAAUUAUCUUUUCAGUGUAUGUGUUUGAGUGGCUGUAUGAGCUUAUGCCCUGCAUACAUUCAAGAUUCUGCAGGGCAGAAGAAGGCACUAAUUUUGCUGCACCCAUGUGGGUGCUGGGAAUUGAACCUGGAUCUUAUGGAAGAACAAUCUGUUCUCUUAACCCCUAAGCUAACUCUCCAGAUCCCUACUUUUAAAAAAAAAAAAAAAAACUAUCAGUUUUUUACUUCAGGAUUAUUU